RNAcentral lists this ribosomal RNA (497 nucleotides) under uncultured bacterium. RNAcentral describes it as "partial 16S ribosomal RNA". It matches the Rfam family "Bacterial small subunit ribosomal RNA", at positions 28 to 507 of the family's 1533-position model. The record is from RNAcentral.
GACGAACGCUGGCGGCGUGCCUAAUACAUGCAAGUUGAGCGCUGAAGGUUGGUACUUGUACCAACUGGAUGAGCAGCGAACGGGUGAGUAACGCGUGGGGAAUCUGCCUUUGAGCGGGGGACAACAUUUGGAAACGAAUGCUAAUACCGCAUAAAAACUUUAAACACAAGUUUUAAGUUUGAAAGAUGCAAUUGCAUCACUCAAAGAUGAUCCCGCGUUGUAUUAGCUAGUUGGUGAGGUAAAGGCUCACCAAGGCGAUGAUACAUAGCCGACCUGAGAGGGUGAUCGGCCACAUUGGGACUGAGACACGGCCCAAACUCCUACGGGAGGCAGCAGUAGGGAAUCUUCGGCAAUGGACGAAAGUCUGACCGAGCAACGCCGCGGGAGUGAAGAAGGUUUUCGGAUCGUAAAACUCUGUUGGUAGAGAGGAACGUUGGUGAGAGUGGAAAGCUCAUCAAGUGACGGUAACUACCCAGAAAGGGACGGCUAACUACGUG